GUUUUGUGUGUUUGUCAUUGCAGGAGUGGCAUUUGUUGGAGGAGUUUGUGAAACCUCUCUGCCCAGAGCUCCAGGACCAAUGCAUCUUUCCACCAUCUUAAACCACUGAUUAUAGUCAUUUUGUGGAUUAUGAUAUGAAAUCGUCCUAAAUUUCGGGUACAUUUUGAAUUCUGUACGUCCUCAAACAUCCAGCUGAGGAAUAUUGAAGCUACUGGAGCAGUUCAGAGGCCUGGUUGCAGAGCACUUGUCCUGUCACCACCAUGAGCUCUGGUAAGUCAUUUUAAACCCUGCCUUUCUCUUCUUGACAAAUCUACAAAACUGGGCCAUUUACCCAGAUUUCUCACUCACUCUGGAGGCCCCAGCUGCAUUUUGUUUUUAAUUUUUUGAGUCCUGGGUAAGUGGCAAAGUUUUGUCAUAAAUUGUCAUCAUCACCUUUACUAGUAAUGGUUUACUAAGUACCUACCAUAUGUCAAGAACUACGCUAUAUACUCCACAUGUACCGUGUCCUGAGUUUUAGAGGGGGCUCCUUUUCCCUGUAUUUGACAACUUUAUUGAGAUAUAACUAGUGUACAGUAAACUGGAUAUUUUAAGGGUACAAUUUGAUAAACGUUGCCAUAUGUAUAUACCUUAGUGGCAUCUCUUAAUCUGACUGACUGCAGCAAAGUCAACAGAUUGACCAUAAUUGCCCCAGGAUAUGAACUAAUCUGUCACUUCCUUUCUCAGGACAAAAUCAUCCUUUUGCUAUGCCUUUGGUGGUAAAAAUCAAGACCUAAACAAGUGAUCAGUUGAGUAUUUUUAGUCUAGAGCUGGGGUGGAAAGCCCAGGCUAGGGGAGACAGAAAGGGGGAUAGGUCCCAAGAGCUGGCAGCUUACCAGCCCAGAAUUCAAGGCAGAGGAGUUUCCACCUGGAGAUGAAGUCACACCUUGGCUACUGAGCGUGUCCUGGAACCUCCCAAGACCCUCAGGCUGGGUGGGCCAGGGGGUGACCAAGGGGUUAGUUCAUUCAGGGGUCUCUGAAUCCUGCAUUGUCUCCGAAGUGUAUUCAGAGACCUCUGUAGAUUGAAAACAAGCCGUUCCCUUUCAGUGCCCUUUUAGCCAAAUCCACAACGUGUGGGGCUGUGUGUGCUUAGGACGGGGAGGCCAGAUCAGCUCAGGGCUGCGUACUGAGUAUGCGAGUGGAGGGCCCUUCUCCACACUCUCCUCUAUAAGAUGGGCGUCGCAGAAGCCCCCAUUCAUUGGGAUUUUGUGAGGAUGAAGUGAGGCAGUGCUUCUGCAGUACUGAGCACUGUGCCCAAGGCCCGGCCGGUGUCCAUCCGUGGGCUCUAUCAGCUCAGGCUCCCUCCAUGCAGGAGAGGAAUGCGGCUCGUCCCUGCGCCUGUGGUGCCUCUGCUGUGCGGGGGGAGGCCUCCCCUCCAGGUGCACUUGGCCCUGCCAGCGGCUCCUGCUUUGUAACUCAUUUUUUUCUCCUUUUUUGGCGUUUUGUUUUUGGUGUCAUUUAAAACAGACUAGGGCUUUUCCUUUCUUUCUUUUGAGACUUAAGCUCUGCAGACUCAAAUUUCUUCUAAGAUCAGAUUUAGCCUAAACGGGCAUCACCACUCCUGGGGCAUCACCACUCCUGGCACGAAUAAGGGUGGAAGAAGCAGAUAGGGAGGGGCCGGCCGGAGGGCGAGGGUGUGGAAAUGCCUGCGGGACUCCUCCCCAGGGUCUCACUCUCGGGCGUGGCACUGAAAGGAGGCAUUUUGUAGAAAGAGUCCAAAAAGUCUGGACCCUUUGACCUGAUAGUCCCACUCUUGGGAGUUUCUAUCUUAAUUUGAAGGAAACAAAAACAUCACCCCCAUGAAGGUGGGGAAUGAAUAGGUUCAUGAUGUGUGUUUGCUUGAUGGAAUAUUAUGCCACUAAUAAAAAUAAUCAUCAGAAGGAAAGCAGCUGCAUAAAAAUAUGUUUUCGCCUUCGGUGGAAAGAGCAGCGUGAAAAUGAUGUGUUAUUUUUAUUCCAAGUCUGGACUGGGCUGCCAGUCACCAAGGCAAGUGCUUUAGCUGCCCUAUCUCAUUUCAUUCUCCUGGCAGACCCACAAGGUUGGGCAUGGUAUACUCUCAUUCUGGAGAUGAGGAAACUGAGGCCCUGAGGGGCUAGUGGUGUGUCUGAAGUCAGCCAGCUAGUGCAGGGUGGAGCUGAGGCAAACCCAGGAGGCUAGUCACCAGCACACUGUGCUGCAGAGGUUUUGAGCCUGAGGUGAUGGAGUUAUUUCUCCAAAUUAAAAAAUGAACGAAAGGAAAGACAUGGGUCUGGGUCUCGGGGAAGCUCAGAGGCUGCUGGCUUAGGGAGGCCCAAAGCAAGGCCUACAGUCCUAGGAAGGAGA
Molecule: non-coding RNA, 2358 nt
Organism: Vicugna pacos (alpaca)
Lineage: Eukaryota; Metazoa; Chordata; Mammalia; Artiodactyla; Camelidae
Source: RefSeq, a predicted model, not a curated record